AGAACAAACCAUAGGUUCCAUAGACAAGUCCAUGUGCACUUCAAUUUCGAUCGAUCAUAUGUUUUCUUUGUGUAGUUUUUUCAGCCGCUGUAAUUCGAAUUGGUUAUAAAGUUUACAAGUAAAGAAGUGAAUUAUUUCGUGGAUAUUGUUUUAUAUGAAAGCAAUUGUGUGUGGCAGGCCAACCUGACGUUAUAUUGUUGUUUUAAGUAUUUAUUUAUGCGGUGCAUAUAAUUGCAUUGUCGAGUGCACGUGCUUGCAUUUUUUAACUCUUAACUUAAAAUCUCAGUCAUUUUACUGCAUGAAAAGUAAAUUAGUAUAAAGAAAAGUAUUCUAAUUUUUAAAUUCAAGCAUAUUAGAUAGUCGUUAAUAUCAUUUUUGUAUAAAAACGUGGCUAGAAAUGUGUGACGAAAACUUAGGUUGGUUUCGAUAUUUUCCUAUUUACGCCGUGCUUAGCUCAAUUUUAUGCAGAUAUUCUGAAACAUUUACGUCGGAUGAAGUGUUAGUGGUGAAAAAAUUGCCACAAAUAACAAACAACAUGUGGAAGUGUAAUAAAAGUGCCACGAAAAAGAAAGUGCCAAAAUCACGGAGGAUAUUAUUGUAUUAUUGUGGUUUUAAUUACUAAAACAAAACGUGUAAGAAAAUGUUUGUGUUACAAAAAUGUGUUGUGGUGUACAUUGGAUGCAGUGUUUCGCUAGAUGGCGCUGUUCGGAUUGUUGCUGACCAAGCGAGUUCGCCAUGUUGCUAUUGAACGCUAGAUGGCGUCGAUCUGCGGAGUUCAGUAGCCGAUUGUGUCGAAUAGAUAAAAUAUCGAACUCCCUUCGCUUUGUUAUAAACAAAGUACUACUUACGUGUUGUUCCGGAGAUCGACGCCAAUAUUACCGCUUGCGGCAAUGAUUGAACGCGACACGUCCGAUGCAGAAAUAUUGUCUUAUAUCAUCAUCUAUAUUGUUGGAUGAGGUCAUCUUGGUCCGCCAGUAUUGAGUUAGACUCUACUCGUUACAAUCUCAUGAUUUGUGGUCUCAUUAUCCUAUUAACAUCUGGAAUACGACGAAACAAGCAGUUAUCAUUUAUCAUUGAACCUUUGUUUGUUUAUUUAUAUGUUGAGUACCUGAUAGUGUUGAGCUGUUGUUUCGUCAUUUCUUAGGGCUGGUCCGUUUGUAACGUGAAGUAGUCCAAUAUUAUCUAAUGUUUCUGAGAAUACUCGUUUUAUGAUAUGGAGUGAUCACAGAGGAAGCCGUAAAGACGCACUAGCAUGUUCUCCGACUAUCAACAUACUGAGAUCGUUAUUUUCCCGUUUUUUCCGUUUUCCUUUGCGAUCUUAACGUGUUCACGCAUUUGUAUACGAGUCGGUUUUAAAUUUUAUGUUUUUAUUGUUAAUUUAUUGUAUCGUACUUUAUGUUUUUUGAAUACCAUUGACUAACAAACACUAAACAAUUCUAACGCAUGACCUUUUUAUUUUUACUUUAUCAACUCGCGAGUGUGCAUGACUUUAAGGAUUAUUUUAAUUGUUUUAUUUUGAAUUAUUAUUAUUAAUGUAUAGUUAUUGUUUUUUAAAUAUUUAUCACGAUAAUUAAGACAUCAUUAGAAAUUUAUUUGACUUUGUAGUUUUAAUGUUAUAAAAUGAUUGAUUGUUAUUUAGAUAAUUAAAUUAAAUGCAAAUGUUUACUUCAACAAUUUGUGGCCAAGCAAAUUGAUGAUCAAUAUCUGUCGUACGCCUUGCUCCAUAAAACUUGAUUUUAGGUUUAAAAUGAUUCACUUAAAUUCGAGUUUUAGUUAAGCAUAGCAGCAAUAUCAGUGUGAUUGCAUUCUCGUUUUUUAUAUGAUGAAAAAUUUGAUCAUGCAAUCUGUUAUAAUUACGUAAUUGAUUAUUAGAUUAUAAUUUAUUUUUUCAUAUGUUUAGUUGAAUAAAUGUUUCGGCAUGA
Molecule: long non-coding RNA, 1922 nt
Organism: Bombyx mori (domestic silkworm)
Lineage: Eukaryota; Metazoa; Arthropoda; Insecta; Lepidoptera; Bombycidae
Exons: 6
Source: RefSeq, a predicted model, not a curated record